This 170-nucleotide non-coding RNA is filed under the name Clostridium sulfidigenes. The record is from RNAcentral. Lineage: Bacteria; Bacillati; Bacillota; Clostridia; Eubacteriales; Clostridiaceae.
UAACAUAUGAAUGAUAUUGGUUUUCAAAGGAAGAUGGAUGAAAUUUCCACACAGUACCGCUACUGUAAUUAGGGAAUAUUAAUUAUUUAUACCACUGAACUUUUGUUUGGGAAGGUUAAUUAAUAUAAUGAUCUAUAAGUCAGGAUACUUACCAAUAUUAAAAAUAUCGA